This 521-nucleotide ribosomal RNA is filed under the name Arthrobacter sp. RNAcentral's name for it is "bacterial SSU rRNA". It matches the Rfam family "Bacterial small subunit ribosomal RNA", at positions 79 to 613 of the family's 1533-position model. The record is from RNAcentral. Lineage: Bacteria; Bacillati; Actinomycetota; Actinomycetes; Micrococcales; Micrococcaceae. RNAcentral also lists the same sequence under 1 other name.
GUUGUCGUAGGGGGUGUGGCGAAAGGGUGAGUAACACGUGAGUAACCUGCCCUUGACUCUGGGAUAAGCCUGGGAAACUGGGUCUAAUACCGGAUAUGACUCCUCAUCGCAUGGUGGGGGGUGGAAAGCUUUUGUGGUUUUGGAUGGACUCGCGGCCUAUCAGCUUGUUGGUGGGGUAAUGGCCUACCAAGGCGACGACGGGUAGCCGGCCUGAGAGGGUGACCGGCCACACUGGGACUGAGACACGGCCCAGACUCCUACGGGAGGCAGCAGUGGGGAAUAUUGCACAAUGGGCGCAAGCCUGAUGCAGCGACGCCGCGUGAGGGAUGACGGCCUUCGGGUUGUAAACCUCUUUCAGUAGGGAAGAAGCCGUGAGGUGACGGUACCUGCAGAAGAAGCGCCGGCUAACUACGUGCCAGCAGCCGCGGUAAUACGUAGGGCGCAAGCGUUAUCCGGAAUUAUUGGGCGUAAAGAGCUCGUAGGCGGUUUGUCGCGUCUGCUGUGAAAGACCGGGGCUCAAC